AGUGAACGCUGGCGGUAGGCCUAACACAUGCAAGUCGAACGGCAGCACAGUAAGAGCUUGCUCUUACGGGUGGCGAGUGGCGGACGGGUGAGGAAUACAUCGGAAUCUACUUUUUCGUGGGGGAUAACGUAGGGAAACUUACGCUAAUACCGCAUACGACCUACGGGUGAAAGCAGGGGAUCUUCGGACCUUGCGCGAUUGAAUGAGCCGAUAUCGGAUUAGCUAGUUGGCGGGGUAAAGGCCCACCAAGGCGACGAUCCGUAGCUGGUCUGAGAGGAUGACAGCCACCCCGGGACUUAGGCACCGUCCCGACCCCUUCGGGGGGGCGCCGUGGGGAAUAUUUGACCAUUGGCGCAAACCUUAUCCAGCCAUACCGCGUGGGUGAAGAAGGCCUUCGGGUUGUAAAGCCCUUUUGCUGGGAAAGAAAAGCAGCAGGUUAAUACCCCGCUGUUCUGACGGUACCCAAAGAAUAAGCACCGGCUAACUUCGUG
RNAcentral lists this ribosomal RNA (491 nucleotides) under uncultured bacterium. RNAcentral's name for it is "partial 16S ribosomal RNA". It matches the Rfam family "Bacterial small subunit ribosomal RNA", at positions 29 to 507 of the family's 1533-position model. The record is from RNAcentral.